RNAcentral lists this ribosomal RNA (748 nucleotides) under uncultured Lachnospiraceae bacterium. RNAcentral describes it as "bacterial SSU rRNA". It matches the Rfam family "Bacterial small subunit ribosomal RNA", at positions 28 to 776 of the family's 1533-position model. Lineage: Bacteria; Bacillati; Bacillota; Clostridia; Lachnospirales; Lachnospiraceae. The record is from RNAcentral.
GAUGAACGCUGGCGGCGUGCUUAACACAUGCAAGUCGAACGAAGCUGCUAAAAGGAAGUCUUCGGAUGGAAUUUUAGUAGACUUAGUGGCGGACGGGUGAGUAACGCGUGGAUAACCUGCCUUAUACAGGGGGAUAACGGAGAGAAAUUUCCGCUAAGACCGCAUAAGACCACAGCACCGCAUGGUGCAGGGGUAAAAUAUUUAUAGGUAUAAGAUGGAUCCGCGUCCGAUUAGCUAGUUGGUGAGGUAGAGGCUCACCAAGGCGACGAUCGGUAGCCGGCCUGAGAGGGUGAACGGCCACAUUGGGACUGAGACGCGGCCCAAACUCCUACGGGAGGCAGCAGUGGGGAAUAUUGGACAAUGGGGGAAACCCUGAUCCAGCGACGCCGCGUGAGUGAAGAAGUAUUUCGGUAUGUAAGGCUCCAUCAGCAGGGAAGAAAAUGACGGUACCUGACUAAGAAGCCCCGGCUAACUACGUGCCAGCAGCCGCGGUAAUACGUAGGGGGCAAGCGUUAUCCGGAUUUACUGGGUGUAAAGGGAGCGCAGACGGCGAAGCAAGUCUGAAGUGAAAUGCAUGGGCUCAACCCAUGAAUUGCUCUGGAAACUGUUUGGCUUGAGUGUCGGAGGGGUAAGCGGAAUUCCUAGUGUAGCGGUGAAAUGCGUAGAUAUUAGGAGGAACACCGGAGGCGAAGGCGGCUUACUGGACGACAACUGACGUUGAGGCUCGAAGGCGUGGGGAGCAAACAGG